UCAUUUUUUAAUCCAUUUGGCAAUAACAAACGUAUUAUGUAUGAGUAAUCUGUGUCGAUGUCACUAAAGUGCAUAUCGAUAUCA
RNAcentral lists this transfer RNA (84 nucleotides) under Nephrodesmus albus. RNAcentral's name for it is "tRNA-Tyr". Lineage: Eukaryota; Viridiplantae; Streptophyta; Magnoliopsida; Fabales; Fabaceae. The record is from RNAcentral.